Molecule: long non-coding RNA, 3606 nt
Organism: Nyctereutes procyonoides (raccoon dog)
Lineage: Eukaryota; Metazoa; Chordata; Mammalia; Carnivora; Canidae
Exons: 4
Source: RefSeq, a predicted model, not a curated record
GCUGUGAUUUUCAUUGUGCUGGUGAAGAAACAGACAGUGAGGAGAGGCUCCCAGCUUUGGUCGAAGAGCCCGGACGGUGCCGAGCCACCUGCUGGACACUCAGACCCUCUCCGGACUCCAAUCUCUCUCUCUCUUUAUAUUAUUAUUAAUAUUAUUAUUAUUAAUUAUUAUUAUUAUUUUAGAGAGAGAGCACGAGUGGGGGAGAGAGAAGAAGCAGGUUCCCCACUGAGCAGGGAGCCCGACUCGGGACUCGAUCCCAGGACCCCAAGAUCAUGACCUGAGCAGAAGGCAGAUGCUUCACCGGUGGAGCCCCCCAGGUCACACAAUGGUGAACCGAGGCGCCCGGUGGGGAUGGUGCCCGUGAUGACCUCCUGCAUCGCUCGUGCCCUCACGACCUGGAGCGGCUGAAGGAGCGCGGAGCCCCGGGCACUGAGGACCCGAUCCAUGGCACUUCCUUUGGGCGCAGGGCGCAGCACACAGUGCCUGGAGCCUACUGUUCCUGUCCUCCCUCCUCCGCCUUCGCCUAAUUCCAGGUCUGCUUCUGCCUGCGGGACUCCCCUGUCCCCGGGCCGAGGGGGGAGAGGCGGGCUCGAGGGCGCCAUCGGGAAGAUGUAAGACCUACGGAGGCUGCGGCUGGAGGAAGCGCAGUACCUGCCCUCCUGCGGGGAAGCUGUUUGGUGGGGAGUUCUGAGCAUAACGCAGUCACCCAGUCUGCGGGCUCUGUGCUUUGAUAGAUGCACCCCAGCAGGUGCGCGCGGGGCCCCCUGUCUAGCAGUGGCCAGUGCCGGAUGGUUCUGCAGUUUCUCGUGAGCCCCUGGGUCACCUGCACCCCCUGCACCUCGCACACCACCCUCUCCUGCCCGCCGUGCCAGCACAGAAACACAGGACCCCCAAGGGAACAGCAAACUGCCUUUUCAUGGCUCAACAAAGAUGCUUCGAGAACGCGCCUUAAAACAAAUUCUGUUGGGAGUUGUCAAGGCUUCUGCCCCAAGGGCAAGCCCACUUUGAGGGGAGGUCAAAGGCAUCUGGAGCUUUCCAAACUGCUGUUAAAUCUAACACUCCAAGAGCCAACAGGACAGAUUAAAAUUGGAUUUUGCCUGCAAUACCAUUUGGAUCGAGCCUGCAUUGCUGAAUGUGUCCUCCAGCCGGGGAGCCUGUUGCAGACCCUCUGCCAGCCUCAGGCUCUCGAACACGGCUCCCAAGCAGCGUGACUGCCUUCUGUGGGAGAGGCCUGGCUGCUGGGAUGGGGAUGGGGUUGGGAUGGGACUGUCCGAGUGCGUCGGACCAUGCCUGCCCAUCUCUGAGCAGCGCUCUCCUCCCUAUGACAACAGGUGUGCCACACUACAAACACCCAGCUUCGGGAAAGGAAUUCACAAACAAGUAUAACAGGAUAUUCAGAAAACUGGUGCAGGGUGACUCAUCUCAUCGAACGCAAACUAUCUGGGAUGUGACGGUCUGCUGUUGCAUUGGCAGCUCGGUCCGGCGAGAAAAAUGGAUUUAAGGAAACCAAGUGAACUAGGUCAACGAAGAUGCUAUUUCCUGGCAGCUCUGGACCCGCUAAACUCUCCUCAUGGUUAGGAAAGAGUCUCCCAUGGGCACCUUUAAAGGAUGUGACACAAUUUGACCGAAUCCAGGCUGCUGUGUUGUGUUUUCUCAACGUGAAUCCACCUGCCUGAUGUCCGUCUUCUUUACUCCUGAAGUGCAUUCACACAUCGGGCCGUUCAAGAGCUCUCCUGGCUAAAAACUCCCCUGAGUUUCUCUGAUCCAGCCUUGGAAGGUGCCCCAAAGAGGCCCUGGGAUGCAGCUCACUGGUGGCUGAGGACACCAUAUGCUUUCUUAACUUGACUGUCUUCACCCUCUCAAUCAGAUGUAUGUCCAGACUGCACUUGUCCACGGUUCAUUAGCUCCUAAAGAAUUUGACCUGGUCCACGUCGCUUUGUCCUCCGAAGAAAUGCCUAGGGAAUUCCCCGAGUGAGGUCCACAGACAAGGACCCUGCCCAAAGAGAGUGUUCUUGGUUUUUGGUGACUCAGGGCCUUCUCUUUACACAGAGUAAUCUUCAAAGGGCAGGUUGGAGAUGUGUCAGCUCCAGACACAGCAAAUGACUAUGAGUUCAGAUUCCCAAACUUUCCAUUUUCCUGUUAUUUCCCUGCCAUCUCGUUGGACCACAUUCCUGUGUCUGCUCUUCCCAUCCAGAACGUGUGGGUGCUAAUCUUUGCCUCUGACACCUGUUAGUCAUUCUGUGUCUCAGGUCCCAUUGGUGAUAUGGGGUAAUCACCGUGUUUACCACACAGGCUUGUUGAGAAACCUCCACUUCACAGUGAUAGGUGAUCUGAUCAAGUGGAGGUGAUACAUUAAGCUCAACAAAGAUUAGACAGCAGACUUGGGAAGACCAUAGCAUCUUCUUUCCAGGUCUCGUUUCCCAUAGAAGGUAACACUGAUAGGAAUCUGUUGUGGUGAAUGCUCAUCAUUUCUGGAAACACAGGAGCAUUCAUGGAAAGACACCUGUAGGCUGAGGUCUUAGCUCCUAUUAAGACCUGAGUAAUAGCCUCAGAUUUGCAAACACACAGGCUCUGGUUCUGCUUUCUUAGCUGGGCAUGUGUUCACAGGUGUCUUAUCUAGUGCUUAUAGGCCAGAAAGGGCCACGUUCUAGGCAAAUAUCAAGAGAUAUGAGCUGAAUGUGGUUUUAAUAUGCUGGCAUCAUAUGAUAUCACUGACUUUGAGAAGUACCCUGCAUGAUCCAACUUACUGAAGAAGGAAGGGAUCAUUUGCUCCAGAGUAAAGUCAAAACAGUAAAACUGCUUGAGGAGAAAAUGACCUUUCUUGUCCUUACACGUAUCAAGUGGAUUCUUGGGAAAGUAAGCCCAGCAAGGAUUCCCUGUAACUAACGGCUGACUCCACUAGACUCCAAGAAGCCAUUACUUAAUUUUAUUACUCUAAACUGACCAAUUCCAUCACGAGGCACCCUUGGGUUUCCACAGGGUCACGUUGGUGAGGUAACGUGUUGUACCCAGGCUGGGGACAUCAGCUUUUUGAUUUUUUGUCUUAAUUCCAAGCUUAUAUUUCCACUCUUACUAUUUAGCAAGAUCCUUGUUUUGAUGCGCUGUCAUCAACACCUGAUAUAAUCAGGAUUGAAAACACAGUUUAAAAUCUUGCCCCCACACCUCAGAUAAAGCUGAACAUCCAUGAUGUUUGAUGAUACACCAUGGUCCGCUGCUGGCUUCUUCCUGCAGGAGAGGUAGUUCUGCAGCCAGCCAGUCCAGGCUUUUCGUAUUUCUGUGUAUUUGUGUAUAUUCUUAGGCAGGUCCAUGCUUGAGUUGCUUCAUGGUUAGGAGGCAGUCAUUAGCUUCUAAAGAAUCAUCUGGAAUCCUCUAGCAGAUGAUACACAUAAAAGUAUAAAAAAGAAAUAUAAAGAAGGAAGUAAUAGACUUAGUGUGAUAAGUAAUUUGUAUAAUUGGCUGCCUCUAAAACAGACAUACGUAACAAGUAAUACAUCUGCAACAUCCUUUGCUUCUUUACCUUUACACAAAGAAGAUGGAUCUAGGUCUACACAAGUGUGUACAUUAAAUAUUCAUUGAUGGAUUUAUUCUAAAAUUUGUGAGUGUCCA